UUUAUGUUUUCUUCAUGUUCACUUAUGACUAUUAGAAACCCCAAUACUGUUAUUGCUUGGCUUGUCUUAGUGACUUCUGAUCACAUCUCAUUUAUUUGCAUCACACCCAUUUGGAUUGACACCUAAAAUACUACAACGACAUGAUUGGUGUUUUAUGAUAAUUGACUAAAAACAUAUUAUCAACCGCAACGGAUCUUAAAAGCCUAAAUAUUGUAUCCUUGUUAGAAGAUACAUAGACAAAGACUCAUACGGAAUUCGGCUAAACCAUCAAAGCUUUUAGAAGCAAGAAGAAGCUUGGUUAGUGUUUUGGAGUGAAAUAUGACUAGAUGUCAUAUGUAUGACUGAGUAUACCAACUAGAACCACAAUUGGAAUUUUAAAAGCCUAAGUAUUGUAUCCUUGUUAGAAGAUACAAAGACAAACACUCAUACGGACUUUGGCUACACCAUCAAAGCUUUGAGAAGCAAGAAGAAGCUUGGUUAGUGUUUUGGAGUCGAAUAUGACUUGAUGUGAUGUGUAUGAUUGAGUAUAAGAAAUUAAACCGCAAUCGGAUCUUAAAAGCCUAAGUAGUGUUUCCUUGUUAGAAGAUACAAAGGCAAAGCCUCAUACAGACUUUAGCUAUAUCAUCAAAGCCUUGAG
This 637-nucleotide small RNA is filed under the name Arabidopsis thaliana (thale cress). RNAcentral describes it as "ATSL270070". Lineage: Eukaryota; Viridiplantae; Streptophyta; Magnoliopsida; Brassicales; Brassicaceae. The record is from RNAcentral.